GCGAGCCUCGCCCGCCAGCGCCGUCUGCCGCUCUCGCCUCGCCCGCCAAGCGCCGCCUCGCCUCCCCGUGCGACCGAAACCUACCCCAUCUGCCCACCCGCGAUCGAAACCUGUUGGCUGACGCUAGAGAUCCCAAUCGUCGAUUGUGAACCGUGGCUCUCGCUGCCGCCGCCGCCAUCGCGUGUGUCCUGAGGCCAUGCGACCCGCUGCAGGGGGCCCUUCGCUGGUCGUGGUCGCGACCAAGAUGGUGGAGGCCCGCUAUGCCCCACAAUGGCGACUGUAGCAGGCUAGGUGCUCUCCUACUCGGGAGGUUUGGGAGGGAUUCACGCACGACAUGGACGACCUCACCAGCGGCUUCCUCCAUUGUUGCGGACCAAGGACUAUGACAGUUGUAGCCGGUCGGGUGCUCUCCUACUCGGGAUGUAUGGGAGGGAUUCACGCGCGGCAUGGACGACCUCGCCAGCGGCCUCCUCCAUUGCUGCGGACCAAGACUUCAACGUGCCUUGGCCAGUCAAGUCUCAGACUGCAAUGACAUUUGCCAGAAGGUAAGGAUUCUUUUGUCCCCCCCCUCCCCCUCUCCCCCCAGUUUUCUCUUGAGCACGAAGCCAUGAACUCUUGUUAGCAAUUCAGAAAUAGGGAAUAUAUAUGUGACUAAUUUCGCAAUUUAGAACCCAUUGUGGCACACUAAGAAUCAGAAUUUAUCUACCAAGUCCGUCUUGGUAAGCAAAAGCGAAAACUGAGUAAUUUUGCUUAUUUGACAAAUCAAUAUAUGCUUUGACAUAGCAGUUAACAACUAAUUUUACCUUGCACUAUAGCACUAAGCUAAUACAACUGUUUAUGCUCUUCUAUGUGUGUUCUGUUAAAUAUGAUAAAUGCAUACACACAUUUGGACGAAAAUACUGCUUGCAUGAACCACACAGUUUCUUGGAAACCUAUGCUUUGUAAUUAUGAAAUUCAAACAAAAGUGGGGUAUUAUCCCGUGGAGUGCUACUAAUCACAAUGACAAGAUCCUUUGUUAAAUCACAGUCCAUUGUAUCUAAUGUUGAGCUUAGGCGGUUGGACGAUGGUGUGCAUGACAUUGUGAUAAGCGUGAGCUACUAGGAUCAAUGGACAGGGCAGAUGAAGGAGCAUGUGGACUGAGCACAAAUAAGCAAAAUAAUUUUCCUCUUGCUAUUGGACAUUGUGGACAAGUAGAAAAAAAUGACCCACCACUCUAUCCAAGUUCCAAACUCAAAAUGUUGGCUAUCAUUUUUACAUUUUGGUUCACUCUUGAGGACCAAGAGGGUGUUGAUGUCAUUAUGAAUGUGGGAGGAGAAAUGUUUCAUGCCCACGAUAUGGUUUGGUUGCUUGGUCUCAUGUAUUAAGAUCUCAACUUUUUAAUAUUUGCAAAGUCUCAAUGAUGGUUGCCAAUAGUAUCUUUUAUAUUCUUUCUUUCAAAGGAGAUCCACCUCUAAUCAUAUAUAUAAUAUCUUUAAUCUUUAUUUGGUGCUGCCGAGGAGGACUCGCCGCAUGGGAGGUGCAGGAAGGAGGAAGGAAUGGGUAGGAGAGCAAGGUUCUAGACAAGGGGAAGACACUAACAAGGGCAAGAAAGAGUGAGUAGCAUGACCUGAAAUCUUGUGGUAUUUCCUUUCUUUUUCAACUUCUUGAUAGAUGUUUCCACUAAUCAUCAAUUUACUUAUGGCAAACAUGGCAAUAUUGUGAUAGCAUUUACCAUUUGAAGAAUGCCUUUUAUUUUUCUUCUUUGAAAAAAUGAAAUUAGUGGAUAGUAGUCACUAAUGCUUUGCUGCAAAUAAGCUUCCAGUUAUGAUCGGCCAUACCUUUUCUUUUAAAACGUUGAUACUAAUAUGUGGAAAAGUACGAGUUUCUUUUGAAUACAAGGUGCAUAUGAUUUUGUUGAUUGGAUCCCUCAACCAUCAUCGACAUAGCAGAUCAUUCUCCUACUGCCUAUAAGGUGCUCGAGAACUAGCGUCACCUUUGACACAUUUGCCUUUGUCAAGCAUAAAACUACGGACAGUGCAUUAUCAUUGGUUAUUGUCGGAUCUUGUAAAUAGUUAGCACAAAAAAUCAAACAAUGACAGAAACAGCCCAGCUAGCCUCACAUCAGUUCUUUAAAAUAUUAAUUUUUUUCUGCAAGAGUAGUUUAUUUAUUUCUAUAAUAGUGCAUGAGUAUCAUGGUUUCUCCAUUGAUUCUGGCUACUUUUUAGGUCUAGCAAUAGUUAAACGUCUAUUUGAUUGAGUUAUCAUAGCUCUAAGCUAUUAAUGACAUUGUUUUUACAUUACUGAAUUUUUCAGCUAAUGAGAUUGUGCACUAAAUCUGAAGGAUGCCUGAUAAUUUAUUGAUUUGGUUACUACAUGCAGUAAAAUUGGGAACCUUUAAUAGGUGUGUCCAUGGCAGUGACACAGGUAAGUGAGAUGGUUGGGAUGGAGUGAGGUACGGUCUCAGAUAACAGGGGUGAUCAUGUUUUAUUAUGGCUGAAAACAAGACACAGUUUUGGGAUGAGAAACGGUCGCGGGAUUGUCGGUGUCAGAUGCUUAGCAUGUUGAUUAUUCGAUUAUUAUAAUGUGAAUGUCGUAGCAAAUGAUCAUUUUUAUCAUCAGCCUAUUGAACUUUUUUACCAAUAACAAUUUAGAUACCUUUUGUGAUUUUUCAUGAUUCAGCUAUUAAUGUACGAUGACGGGAACUACUGGCGAUAUAUAGACAACCAUAAUUUUUUUGAAAUAGAGAGUUGUGUUUAAAGAUAAAUUUCAAUUAUGUGUUUCAGUGUUAAUUUCUUGGUGUUUCAUUGACACCGAUAUAA
This is a long non-coding RNA of Sorghum bicolor (sorghum), 2798 nucleotides long. RefSeq lists it as uncharacterized. NCBI's taxonomy places the organism in Eukaryota, Viridiplantae, Streptophyta, Magnoliopsida, Poales, Poaceae. The record is from RefSeq and is a predicted model, not a curated record. The transcript is spliced from 3 exons.